CGGAGGGUGGCUCCGCUGUUCUCAUCUGCAGCUUGCAACUGUUCAUGCCUGCGCAUCAUAGGCAGGUGGGCAUCAGGAAGGAGGAUCAUUGAGUCAGCCUAGACCCACGCACAGAAUCUGACAAUGACCCUUGGGCUUUUCCAGUGGUUACCACAACACCAUUUCCUGCCGCCUGGAGGGAAGACAGAGUAAUUGUUGGCAGCAAGAGAGUGGAACCUGGAGACGAUGUGGACAUGUUGGUGUUCAAAGGAAAAGACCUGAGCCUCUGCCUUAAGAGGCAGACUCACCCUCUCCAGCUUAGCGGGGGUGAAUGUUGCCCCCCAGCUCCUCAGACACCCCCUUGGUACUAGGCUUGUUCUCCAGGCUUACUAGAGGAGUACCCCUCACUCUAACAACAUCCUCAAUGAUUAUCACCCCUGCCUCCUACCUCCCAUGUCCACCCCCAUGGCAGGGCCCCCACAGAAGCAAAACAUAGUCACCUUAGACUCUGGCAUACUGAAGCCAGGCCCUGAUCCUGUCAGCCUCACCUUCCUGCCAACUUGUAUUUAAUAAAAAUAUUAAGUGGUA
This is a long non-coding RNA of Cervus elaphus (red deer), 567 nucleotides long. RefSeq lists it as uncharacterized. The transcript is spliced from 3 exons. The record is from RefSeq and is a predicted model, not a curated record. NCBI's taxonomy places the organism in Eukaryota, Metazoa, Chordata, Mammalia, Artiodactyla, Cervidae.